GAUGAAGAACGUAGCGAAAUGCGAUAAGUAGUGUGAAUUGCAGAAUUCAGUGAAUCAUCGAAUCUUUGAACGCACAAUGCGCCCGCCAGUAUUCUGGCGGGCAUGCCUGUUCGAGCGUCAUUACAACCCUCAGGCCCCCGGGCCUGGCGUUGGGGAUCGGCGGAAGCCCCCUGCGGGCACAACGCCGUCCCCCAAAUACAGUGGCGGUCCCGCCGCAGCUUCCAUUGCGUAGUAGCUAACACCUCGCAACUGGAGAGCGGCGCGGCCACGCCGUAAAACACCCAACUUCUGAAUGUUGACCUCGAAUCAGGUAGGAAUACCCGCUGAACUUAAGCAUAUCAAUAAGCGGAGGA
This 353-nucleotide unclassified non-coding RNA is filed under the name soil metagenome. RNAcentral's name for it is "partial contains 5.8S ribosomal RNA, internal transcribed spacer 2, and large subunit ribosomal RNA". The stretch from base 1 to 120 matches the Rfam family "5.8S ribosomal RNA", at positions 35 to 154 of the family's 154-position model. The record is from RNAcentral.